GGUGCCGGGCGCCGUGGGGCUCGCGCGCUGGGCCCGCCGCCGAGGGCCGCGCCGGAGCGGGGGCGGUAGAAGGGCAGGCCAGGGCCGGGCUCCUGCUGGCGGCGGGGCCGAGGCGGAGCGCGCGGCCCGCCAUGGAGGUGGAGGAGGCGUUCCAGGCAGUGGGCGAGAUGGGCAUCUACCAGAUGUACCUGUGCUUCCUGCUGGCGGUGCUGCUGCAGCUCUACGUGGCCACGGAAGCCAUCCUCAUUGCGCUGGUUGGGGCCACGCCGUCCUACCACUGGGACCUGGCAGAGCUCCUGCCCAACCAGAGCCACAGCAACCAGUCGGUCCGGGAAGAGCAGGCACUGGGGGCCUGGCUCCUGACGGCCAACGGCAGCGAGAUCCACAAGCACGUGCACUUCAGCGGCAGCUUCACCUCCAUUGCCUCUGAGUGGUUUUUAAUUGCCAACAGAUCCUACAAAGUCAGUGCAGCAAGCUCCUUUUUCUUCAGCGGUGUGUUCGUGGGAGUUAUCUCUUUUGGGCAGCUCUCAGAUCGCUUCGGAAGGAAAAAAGUCUAUCUCACAGGUUUUGCUCUCGACAUCUUAUUUGCUAUCGCAAAUGGGUUUUCCCCCUCGUAUGAGUUCUUUGCAAUAACUCGCUUCCUGGUGGGCGUGAUGAAUGGAGGGAUGUCCCUGGUGGCCUUCGUCCUGCUGAACGAAUGUGUGGGCACCGCCUACUGGGCACUGGCAGGGUCCAUCGGUGGCCUCUUCUUCGCAGUUGGCAUUGCCCAGUAUGCCCUGUUGGGAUAUUUCAUCCGCUCCUGGAGGACCCUCGCCGUUCUGGUUAACCUGCAGGGAACCGUGGUCUUUCUCUUAUCUUUAUUCAUUCCUGAAUCACCCCGUUGGUUAUACUCCCAGGGUCGACUGCGAGAGGCCGAAGCAGCCCUGUACCUCAUUGCCAGGAGGAACCGCCAGCUCAGGUGCACCUUCUCUCUAACACACCCGGCCAACAGGAGCUGCAAGGAAACCGGAAGUUUCCUGGACCUGUUCCGCUACCGGGUCCUCUUGGGGCACACGCUGACCCUCAUGUUCAUCUGGUUUGUGUGCAGUUUGGUAUAUUAUGGCCUAACUCUGAGCGCAGGAGAUCUAGGUGGAAAUAUUUAUGCCAACUUGGCCCUGUCUGGCCUCAUAGAGAUUCCAUCUUACCCUAUCUGCAUCUACUUGAUUAACCAAAAAUGGUUUGGUCGGAAGCGGACAUUAGCAGCAUUUCUGUGCCUGGGAGGACUGGCUUGUCUUAUUGUCAUGUUUCUUCCAGAAAAAAAAGGUGUGGCACUUGUCCUCCUCAGACACAGGUGUGUUCGCCGUGGUGAACAGCCAUUCCUUGUCCCUGCUGGGGAAGCUGACCAUCAGCGCUGCCUUCAACGUGGUCUAUAUCUACACCUCGGAGCUGUACCCCACUGUCAUCAGGAACGUCGGGCUUGGAACUUGUUCCAUGUUCUCCCGAGUUGGUGGGAUUAUCGCUCCCUUCAUCCCCUCACUGAAGUACGUGCAAUGGUCUUUACCCUUCAUCGUCUUUGGCGCCACGGGGCUGACUUCAGGCCUCCUGAGUUUAUUAUUACCCGAAACCCUUAACAGUCCGUUGCUGGAGACGUUUUCUGACCUUCAGGUGUAUUCCUAUCGGAGGCUGGGGGAGGAGGCGUUAUCUUUGCAGACCUUGGAUCCCCCUCAGUCUGCGGGCAAGGACAGCCCUUUAGGGAGCGAGAGUGAGGAAGAAGAAGAGUUUUACGACGCAGAUGAAGAGACUCAGAUGAUCAAGUGAAAAGCCCCAGACUCCCUCUCGGAAGCAGAGGACCAGCGCCCCCGGUGAGAACCCCUUCUCCCAGGAGCCUGGAGGGGGCUGUGGAAAGAUUGGCUUGAACAAACGCAGAUGGUGCUCCGCGUGGCCUGAUGUCUUUGAGGCACCGAGGAAGCUGGAGAAGCGAUUUCAUGAACGAGGACAACCCUGCCUCCAGUGAAGAGCUGUUCCUUUGCCCCCAGUUCUGCUUUAGCUCAGAGUCAUGACCGCUGGCCAGACGACUGUCAUCCACAUGCCAGGGUCAGUAAGCUAAUGUGUUUCCAGAAGUUGGAUUGGUUUUCAGUUUCAUCGUGACCUGAAGGCAAAUAUGUAAAACAUCUUCUCACCAUGAAGAUGUAACCUGUGUACCAUAUCUGACGUCCGCCCCUCUCAGUUGCUCCUCACCAGGAAUCCUUGGAGGCAAGUUGGUGUUCACGUUUCAUUUUUGUGCCGGAGGAGAAGCUCAGAGAGGUCAUUUGCGUGGCCCGUGGGUUUCCAGCGUCUCCCUAACUGAUGGGAUUGGGGCCCUCAACACAAAGGCUUGAUCGCCUUGUGCUUUGGGUCCCCCCCAGGGGACCUGCUAGGAAAAGCCACCUGUUCCAAAGUGAUGUUCUCAGAGCCCAAAGCGUGGCUGCAUCUCCCUGUGUGAUUUUGUCACGUCCCACCUGUGUGCGCGCCUCUAGAAAAAGUUCCAUCUCAGACUCUAGCACCAGCAAUAACUUCCAAACUAUGCCCGGUGAAUGAUCAAGCUUUAUAAGGGGGGUGGGCUGUUAAAAAGUGGCUUGUUGAGCACACUUCCAUGUUAAAAAAGGGGAAAAAUGUGCUGUUUUUAAUAAGGAAGAAAAGGAAUUACUUUCCCAGUUUUCUGUUUUGUUGUCGGUGUGGUGCAGGAAGCAACUUGAGCAGCAUUUCAGAACUUUUCUAGUCCUAGAUCGGCCCCCGGCCUGUUUAGUUAGCUUGAAUGGAAGGCACAGUGACGUCAUAGGAAAUACUAGUUUUCAUUAAGACUUACCAGCCUUCAAAUAAAUGGAAAUCAUACUCAGUUUCCUAAAAUCAUGUGCUGAAAAUGUUUCCUUGCGAAGCCCGAGGAUUGUCUCAAAUAGGCGUGUUAACCUGGAGUGAACAAGUUUGGACAUUAUUCCUUGCGGUCCUUUUUCCAACUGAGAAAAUUUCUGUUUUCAGAAUUUGCUUUCUACUAAUCUCUUGGAGAAAGAAAUUUCAUUAGCGAUAAAGAGAUGUCAGUACUGUGUCUGCUUCUGGAAAUCUUAGAGGCCUCACUCUGAAUAGGCUCCAACACCCACCUGACCUCUUCCAUUGACCUCUUGGUUUGCACCAUAUCAGCCUCUAUCUUUGUUUUUGUUCAUAUAUAUAUAUAUUUUUUUCUUUUUUCUGGCUGCACCUGUCACAUGCAGACGUACCUGGGCCAGGGAUCGAAGCUGCACCAUGGCAGUGACCCAAGCCACAGCAGUGACAAUGCCACAUCCUUAACCCACUGAGUUACCAGGGAGCUCCUGUCACAGUACUUUUAUGUCCUUCAUGACCAUGAUUUGGUAUUGGGCUCUUUAGAAAUAGGAGCCAGAGUUCCCAUCAUGGUGCCGCAGAAACGAAUCUGACUCGGAACCAUGAGGUGGCAGGUUUGAUCCCUGGCCUCGCUCAGUGGGUUGAGAUUCCGGCAUUGCCAUGAGCUGUGGUGUAGGUCGAAAACGCAGCUUGGAUCUGGUGCAGCUGUGGCAUAGGCUGGCAGCUGUGGCUCCAAUUCGACCCCUAGUCUGGGAACCUCCAUGUGCCAUGGGUGUGGCCCUAAAAAGACAAAAAGACAAAAAAGACCAAAAAAAAAAAAAAAAAAGAUAUAGGGGCCAUCUCUACCGCUGUUUAUUUAUCUCAUGCCCAGAGCAUGUGUCUAGUCGUAGUCCAGACCUACUAAGAAUUACUCUUUCUGGCUGUCAGAGAAAUUGUAAAUCCCAGGCAAAGCUGACCCAACCCCCCAAAUUGUGGAAUCUUGCUGUCUUUUCUCUGGAAAAUGGAGACCCUGUCCACCAUCAAGAGAGAAAGAAAUGAAGAAUUUACAAGGACACUAAGACGCUACAAGGACACUAAGACGCUCUUCUGUGUUCAUGGAGUUAAACAUAAAGCAACAAACUAACGUAUUGAUGAUUGUUGGUUGGUUGGUUGGAGCUGCCUUUGCAUUUUAAGAGUAUUAUUUCCCAUUGUAAAAAAAUGUGAAAACUAAAAGUUAAAAAAUAGCAUUCUUGCAGGUCCAACACCCAGGGGCGACCAGUGUUGUAGCUUUGUUCCAUCUAAGGACCAAUAGGGUAUCCAUCUCUCACGGCACUGGGGUUCCCUCUGCCUCUGGCUGGAUAAAUGAGGUUUCCAUUAAUUCUGACCCUGGGUUUUCUCUUUUCUAGCUUUAGGGUGGGGGAAGAGGGUGAAGGAUACACAGGUUGAACAUAUGUUGCCAAGGCUGCACUGACGGUCAGUUGCUCAUGUCAGAUGCCUCAAUAAAUUUUGUUUUCUUUCUAGGUGAUCUUUUGCAAAGUUUAAUAGUUACUGUUUUUGUUCAUCCCUCGCCUUUUAUAAAAACAUCUUUUCCUUUUGUUCUUAACUGUUGAAGAAUAUUAACUGUAGAGAAUAUGCAUGAGUAUCUUUGUGUUGAUUAAAUUACUGGAAAACUCUUAUUUGAUAGGUAACACGUUUUGUUUGUGCAAAUGACUUAUAAAAGUUAUCCAUUUAAACUUUUUAUUAGAUUCAGAAUUGAAUUUCUUUUCUCCUAAAAAGCAGCAAGAAAAGCGUCAGAAAUCCAAGAGUUUUCAGGGUCAAAGUUCUUUUCAACAGCUUACCAAGAACCUUGACACUACACGGAUGGAUUGAAAGAAAUUGUGUUGUUUCCUGAUUUGGUGAGUUAAAACCAUUGCUCAUUGAAAAUGCACUAUUUGUCAUUUGGCUGAUUUCAAGCAAUGUAGAUAUUCUUUAGUAUUUAAAAAUGAACAAAUAAAUAAAA
Molecule: non-coding RNA, 4810 nt
Organism: Sus scrofa (pig)
Lineage: Eukaryota; Metazoa; Chordata; Mammalia; Artiodactyla; Suidae
Source: RefSeq, a predicted model, not a curated record